UACGGGGGGGGCAAGCGUUGUUCGGAAUUACUGGGCGUAAAGGGUUCGUAGGUGGCCAACUAAGUCAGACGUGAAAUCCCUCAGCUUAACUGGGGAACUGCGUCUGAGACUGGAUGGCUUGAGUGCAGGAGAGGAACGCGGAAUUCCAGGUGUAGCGGUGAAAUGCGCAGAUAUCAGGAAGAACACCCGUGGCGAAGGCGGCUCUCUGGGACGGUACUGACGCUGAGACGCGAAAGCGUGGGGAGCGAACAGG
This 253-nucleotide ribosomal RNA is filed under the name uncultured bacterium. RNAcentral's name for it is "partial 16S ribosomal RNA". It matches the Rfam family "Bacterial small subunit ribosomal RNA", at positions 524 to 776 of the family's 1533-position model. The record is from RNAcentral.